GAUGAACGCUGGCGGCGUGCUUAACACAUGCAAGUCGAACGGAAAGGCCCAAGCUUGCUUGGGUACUCGAGUGGCGAACGGGUGAGUAACACGUGGGUGAUCUGCCCUGCACUUCGGGAUAAGCCUGGGAAACUGGGUCUAAUACCGGAUAGGACUACAUUUUGGAUGGUGUGGUGGAAAGUUUUUCGGUGUGGGAUGAGCUCGCGGCCUAUCAGCUUGUUGGUGGGGUAAUGGCCUACCAAGGCGUCGACGGGUAGCCGGCCUGAGAGGGUGUACGGCCACAUUGGGACUGGGAUACGGCCCAGACUCCUACGGGAGGCAGCAGUGGGGAAUAGUGCACAAUGGGCGCAAGCCUGGUGCGGCGACGCCGCGUGGGGGAUAACGGCCUUCGGGUUGUAAACUCCUUUCGCUAGGGACGAAGCGCAAGUGACGGUACCUGGAGAAGAAGCACCGGCUAACUACGUG
RNAcentral lists this ribosomal RNA (465 nucleotides) under uncultured bacterium. RNAcentral describes it as "partial 16S ribosomal RNA". It matches the Rfam family "Bacterial small subunit ribosomal RNA", at positions 28 to 507 of the family's 1533-position model. The record is from RNAcentral.